GAUAUGAAGGCGAUCUGGCUGUGACAUCUGUCACCCCACUGAUCACCAACUUUGAUUUGGAUUGAUGUGGCUGGCUAGGCGGGCAUCCCUUUCCUCUCUACCAUGUCCCAUGCAUCCCUCCUGAAGCUGCAUGUUUGGUCAAAGAGGAUGACAUUCCCAGAUAGAGGAAGACCAUUAUUCCUGUCAAGAGUAGCUGUGCUCCCCUGCAAGAACCUGCAAACAGCUCAAAAUAAAUAGAUAGAUAAAAAAAUAAAUAAAUAAAAGUCUAUAACAUAAAGGACUCCAGGUUCAUUCAUUUUAUUUCUCUUGUCUUUGUCU
This is an unclassified non-coding RNA of Cercocebus atys (sooty mangabey), 318 nucleotides long. Its record names the gene 7SK. It matches the Rfam family "7SK RNA". From Rfam's summary of the family: 7SK was discovered as an abundant small nuclear RNA in the mid-70s but a possible function has only recently been suggested. The record is from Ensembl. NCBI's taxonomy places the organism in Eukaryota, Metazoa, Chordata, Mammalia, Primates, Cercopithecidae.